UACGUACCGUCCAAACGUUAUUCGGAAUUACUGGGCUUAAAGGGUACGUAGGCGGCGCUGUCAGUCGGGUGUGAAAUCCCACGGCUCAACCGUGGAACUGCGCCCGAUACUGCAGUGCUUGAGGGAGACAGAGGUAAGCGGAACUGAUGGUGGAGCGGUGAAAUGCGUUGAUAUCAUCAGGAACACCAGUGGCGAAAGCGGCUUACUGGGUCUCUUCUGACGCUGAGGUACGAAAGCUAGGGGAGCGAACCGG
RNAcentral lists this ribosomal RNA (253 nucleotides) under uncultured bacterium. RNAcentral describes it as "partial 16S ribosomal RNA". It matches the Rfam family "Bacterial small subunit ribosomal RNA", at positions 524 to 776 of the family's 1533-position model. The record is from RNAcentral.